AUUUUUAAUACCAAUACCGAUGGAUAACAUCCCUACAUGGCUCGCUGCACGAAAAUUAAUUCUUGUCGGCAGAUCCAAACGCGAAAAAAUUAAUGGAACGAACACGUUUCGACCAUGAAACUUACCGUAUUAUAAAAGCUGUUCUCCCAUCAAACUCCCUCUCCAAUGGCGGCAGCAGCAGCAGCAGCGGCAGAGAUGUUCACGGUGGAAGUCACCUCCCAAGAGACCGUCAAGCCUUCUUCCCCCACUCCUCCCCACCUCCAAACCCACUCCCUCUCCUGGUUCGACCAGCUCGCCCCUCCCUCCCAUGUCCCCCUCCUCCUCUUCUACUCCCCUCCCCCCUCCCCUGUCCUCCAAUCCCUCAAGCGCUCCCUUUCCCAGACCCUCUCCCUCUUCCCCCUCCUCGCCGGCCGCCUCGAGAACGAGGCAUCUCAGAUCCGAUGCGGCGACCAGGGCGUGGAGUUUUUCGAAGCCCGCGUCGACUCCACGCUCUCCCAUCUCCAGCAGCAGCAGCUAAGUCUCCAGUCUCUGGAUGCUCUGCUCCCUUGUGACCGCUCUUGCAGCUGCUGGGGGCAAGCGCUCCUCGCCGUCCAAAUCAACACCCUCUCCUGCGGCAGCGUCGUCAUCGGCAUCUGCGUCGCCCACAAGAUCGCCGACGGCCUCUCGCUCGCCAAUUUCGUCACCGCAUGGGCCGCCGCUGCCGCCGGUGGCGGCGGUGGCGACAUCCCCCGCCCCAACUUGGGUGCCGCCUCACUCUUUCCCCCUUCCGAGAAGGCUAACCUCGCCCUGGCCUCCGUCAAAUGGAGCCUGAAGCCGACCAAGAAGCUCCUCACCAAGCGGUUCCUCUUCGACGAGGCGAAUCUCGCCGCUCUUCGAGGCUCGUCCUCGACGCGGGUCGAAGCGGUGGCGGCGCUCGUCUGGCGGUGCGCCAUGCGGGCCCGACCAGAAGAAGCGGCGGCGAGGGUGUCGUUGGCAUUCGUCGUCGUCGACGUGCGGGGGAGAAUGGAGCCGCCGCUGGAUGGAAGCUCGUUCGGGAAUCUCUGCAUCUACGCGGCCGCGUCGGAGGUGGAGGCAGGGGACGAGGGGGCGAAGCGGCGGACGGAAGUGAAGCUGAGGAAUGGGAUAAAGAAGAUCGAUAAGGAGUACUUGGGGCAGCUUCAGGGCGCGGACGGGCCGCUGCUGGCGUUCGAGAAGGGGAGGGAGGCGGCGAGGGAGCACGGCAAGGGAGAUGACGAUGUGGACGAUAUUGAUAUCUACUACUUCAACAGCUGGGCUCGGUUUCCAGUAUACGAGGCGGAUUUUGGCUGGGGGAAGCCUGUGUGGGCGGGCACCGCGAGGUUCUUCUGGAAGAAUUUAAUUAUGCUGAUGGGGAGGGGUGGGGAUGGAGGGAUGGAGGCUUGGGUGACUCUGGAGGAGGAGGAGAUGGUGAAAUUUGAGAAAGACCAGGAGCUCGUUUCCUAUGCUACUUCCCUCGCUUCCAUUGCAGCCUAGCCUUGGAACUUGCUGCUGACAAGUCUUAAAUAAGGAUGGAGUAUGUGAUGGAUGGGAGCUUCUCAGAGAAAUCUGCUAUAUUUAGCUUUGGUGUUCUAGUACUUGACAUCAUAAACGGGCAAAAGAACAAGGGAAUCUAUCUCUCCUAUCCAUCCCUCUGCCUUCUUGGACAUUAGGGUCGAUAAGAACGAAGGAUGGCCUAGGCUUGGAGUUCGCGCAAGCAAGCUUGGCUAUCUUUAUAGCAGAGCAGAAUUUUAGUUCUUCAAUUGAUUGUGAAAUUAUAGUUAGUGAUUUUCGGAAUAGUAAAGAUUGUGGAAUUGGUAUUUAUGUUUCGAUUUAGACGCUUUGAACCAGUAUUAGUUUCAUUUAAUGGAUAAUAAAAUUGAAUUCCUAUUUA
Phoenix dactylifera (date palm) is the source of this 1888-nucleotide non-coding RNA. Lineage: Eukaryota; Viridiplantae; Streptophyta; Magnoliopsida; Arecales; Arecaceae. The record is from RefSeq and is a predicted model, not a curated record.